GUUGCUGGCAGACUGGACUUCCAAGGGAUUCGCUUGGGAGCCGAAGCCGGACCCGGAGGCCAAGGCGAGCAGAGGUGGAGGCGCCGAGGCCCGAAUAGGAGUAGCUGCCGAGGCCGGAGCCUGUUUCUGACCACCGACAGGGGCGGACAGGCGGUUCACCAUGGGUGGGUUUUUCUCAAGUAUUUUUUCCAGUCUGUUUGGAACUCGGGAAAUGAGGAUUUUAAUUUUGGGAUUAGAUGGAGCAGGAAAAACUACAAUUUUAUACAGAUUACAGGUUGGAGAAGUCGUUACUACUAUUCCUACUAUUGGAUUCAAUGUUGAGAUGGUAACAUACAAGAAUCUUAAGUUCCAAGUUUGGGAUUUAGGAGGACAGACAAGUAUCAGGCCAUACUGGAGAUGUUAUUAUUCAAACACAGAUGCAGUCAUUUAUGUGGUAGACAGUUGUGACCGAGAUCGAAUUGGCAUUUCCAAAUCAGAGUUAGUUGCUGUGUUGGAGGAAGAAGAGCUGAGAAAAGCUAUUUUAGUGGUGUUUGCAAAUAAGCAGGACAUGGAACAGGCCAUGACUCCCUCAGAGAUGGCAAAUUCACUUGGGUUACCCGCACUGAAGGACCGAAAAUGGCAAAUAUUCAAAACUUCAGCAACCAAAGGCACUAGCCUUAAUGAGGCAAUGGAAUGGUUAGUUGAAACAUUAAAGAGCAGACAGUAGUUCAGUCACUUCUACCCCUGUGAAAUGAAGACUACAUCCUAUAUCCCUUUGGAAAGAAACAGUUAAGUGUGCUUCAUGCUACUAAAUGUUAAAACUGUGUGAUUGUUGGCAUAUACUGAACUGAAUGCAAUAUUUGUAAUAAAUAUAAAAUAUAAGUAUUUGGUUGGAAGGGUAACUCACCCAUGAUUGAACCAACUGAAUAUUCUGUGUAAUGUAAAAUCCUCCCUUGCUUUCUUGUGUUAAGUAUAUAUUCUAUUUGUAUGGAAUUCUUAUUCAAAUAGAGUCCUAUUAAAGAAUGUACUCUUACUGAGGAAAAACCCUCCUAUUUUUGAAUUAGUAGUUGCAGCUUGUUUGUAUAAACACUAAUAAAUAUCUUAAAAAA
This is an RNA transcript of Enhydra lutris kenyoni (northern sea otter), 1088 nucleotides long. It is a transcript of the gene named ADP-ribosylation factor-like protein 1 pseudogene, with no coding region annotated. NCBI's taxonomy places the organism in Eukaryota, Metazoa, Chordata, Mammalia, Carnivora, Mustelidae. The transcript has a single exon. The record is from RefSeq and is a predicted model, not a curated record.